AGCAGCCGCGGUAAUUCCAGCUCCAAUAGCGUAUAUUAAAGUUGUUGCAGUUAAAAAGCUCGUAGUUGAAUUUCGGGAUCAAAUUGUCGGUCGUGCCUCGGUACGUACUGGUAUUAUUGGUUCCUACCUUCUGAAGAACCGCGAUGUCAUUAACUUGGUGUCGUGGGGAAUCAGGACUGUUACUUUGAAAAAAUUAGAGUAUUUAAAGCAAGCUCGCGCUUGAAUACAUUAGCAUGGAAUAAUGAAAUAGGACGUUUGAUUCUAUUUUGUUGGUUUCUAGGAUCGACGUAAUGAUUAAUAGGGAUAGUUGGGGGCAUUAGUAUUCAAUUGUCAGAGGUGAAAAUUCUUGGAUUUAUUGAAGACUAACUACUGCGAAAGCAUUUGCCAAGGAUGUUUUCAUUAAUCAAGAACGAAAGUUAGGGAUCGA
This 427-nucleotide ribosomal RNA is filed under the name uncultured Glomeromycotina. RNAcentral describes it as "SSU rRNA". It matches the Rfam family "Eukaryotic small subunit ribosomal RNA", at positions 569 to 1001 of the family's 1831-position model. Lineage: Eukaryota; Fungi; Glomeromycota. The record is from RNAcentral.